CUUACCGGAAGUAGCCGGAAGGAAGCGGCGCGGGGUGCGCUGGGAGUUGUAGUUCUUCCGGCCCCGAUCACCGGAAGUGGCCGGAUGGAGGCGGCGCGCGGCGGCGGUGGGGGGGCUCCCCCGCGGCCUCCGGCGCCCGGCGAGAAACGGAGACCGGCGCAGUGCGAGGGGCCGCGGCUGCCCAAGGUGGGGCUGUCGGAGGCGGCGGCGGCCGCGCGGCUCCGGGAACUGCCGACGCAGCACGACCACGGCUACAGCGGGAACGGGCUCAGGUUUGGGGCCAAAAACCACAGAUUUGGGAAAAACGGGGAAAACGGGAAAAACGGGGGAAAAACGGGAAAAAUCUGGGGAAAAAAUGGGGGAAAAAUGGGAGAAAAUGGGGGAAAAAUGGGGGAAGAUGGGGAUGGGGGAGGGGCUACAGCGAGAACGGGCUCAGGUUUGGGGCGAAAAAUGGGGAAUUUGGUAAAAACGGGAAAAAUGGGGAAAAAUAGGAAAAAAACAGGAAAAAAAAAGGGAAAAAACGGGGAAAAA
RNAcentral lists this long non-coding RNA (531 nucleotides) under Taeniopygia guttata (zebra finch). Its description in RNAcentral is "lncRNA (ENSTGUG00000023768.1)". The record is from RNAcentral. Lineage: Eukaryota; Metazoa; Chordata; Aves; Passeriformes; Estrildidae.